GACGAACGCUGGCGGCGCGCUUAACACAUGCAAGUCGAGCGAGAACCAGGACUUCGGUCCUGGGGACAGCGGCGAACGGGUGAGUAACACGUGGAUAACCUGCCCUCGGCACCGGGAUAGCCCGGGGAAACCCGGAUUAAUACCGGAUGGCCCUUCCGGCUCACGGGCCGGUCGGAAAAGGUAGCUUCGGCCUCCGGCCGAGGAUGGGUCCGCGGCGGAUUAGCUUGUUGGUGGGGUAACGGCCUACCAAGGCUCCGAUCCGUAGCUGGUCUGAGAGGACGUUCGGCCACCCUGGGACUGAGAGACGGCCCAGACUCCUACGGGAGGCAGCAGUGGGGAAUCUUGCGCAAUGGGCGAAAGCCUGACGCAGCGACGCCGCGUGAGGGAGGAAGGCCUUCGGGUUGUAAACCUCUUUCAGGAGGGACGAAGCUACUCGGGUGAAUAGCCCAGAGGGUGACGGUACCUCCAGAAGAAGCCCCGGCUAACUACGUGCCAGCCGCCGCCGUAA
This 508-nucleotide ribosomal RNA is filed under the name uncultured bacterium. RNAcentral's name for it is "partial 16S ribosomal RNA". It matches the Rfam family "Bacterial small subunit ribosomal RNA", at positions 28 to 523 of the family's 1533-position model. The record is from RNAcentral.